CCUACGGGAGGCAGCAGUGGGGGAUAUUGCACAAUGGGGGAAACCCUGAUGCAGCGACGCCGCGUGUGGGAAGACGGUCUUCUGGAUUGUAAACCACUGUCCCCAGGGACGAAACUGAAGGUACCUGGGGAGGAAGCUCCGGCUAAAUACGUGCCAGCAGCCGCGGUAAUACGUAGGGAGCAAGCGUUGUCCGGAAUUACUGGGUGUAAAGGGAGCGUAGGCGGGGAUGAAAGUUGGGUGUAAAAACUACCGGCUCAACCGAUAGUCGCACUCAAAACUGCAGCUCUUGAGUGAAGUAGAGGCAGGCGGAAUUCCUAGUGUAGCGGUGAAAUGCGUAGAUAUUAGGAGGAACACCAGUGGCGAAGGCGGCCUGCUGGGCUUUUACUGACGCUGAGGCUCGAAAGUGUGGGGAGCAAACAGGAUUAGAUACCCCAGUAGUC
Molecule: ribosomal RNA, 440 nt
Filed under: uncultured bacterium
Lineage: Bacteria
Description: partial 16S ribosomal RNA
Rfam family: Bacterial small subunit ribosomal RNA
Source: RNAcentral